This 30-nucleotide non-coding RNA is filed under the name Homo sapiens (human). Lineage: Eukaryota; Metazoa; Chordata; Mammalia; Primates; Hominidae. The record is from RNAcentral.
UCAUUGAAGUUUCAGGCAAUGGAUGUGGGG